RNAcentral lists this ribosomal RNA (423 nucleotides) under uncultured bacterium. RNAcentral's name for it is "bacterial SSU rRNA". It matches the Rfam family "Bacterial small subunit ribosomal RNA", at positions 355 to 775 of the family's 1533-position model. The record is from RNAcentral.
UGAGGAAUAUUGGUCAAUGGGCGGCAGCCUGAACCAGCCAUCCCGCGUGAAGGAAGAAUGCGCUAUGCGUUGUAAACUUCUUUUUCAGGGGGAUAAAAUUUUGUAUGUAUACAGAACUGAAGGUACCCUGAGAAUAAGCAUCGGCUAACUCCGUGCCAGCAGCCGCGGUAAUACGGAGGAUGCGAGCGUUAUCCGGAUUUAUUGGGUUUAAAGGGUGCGUAGGCGGAAGUAUAAGUCAGUGGUGAAACCCUGCAGCUUAACUGUAGACUUGCCAUUGAUACUGUUUUUCUUGAGUAUGGUCAAGGCAGGCGGAAUGUGUAAUGUAGCGGUGAAAUGCUUAGAUAUUACACAGAACACCGAUAGCGAAGGCAGCUUGCUGGGCCGUUACUGACGCUGAUGCACGAAAGCGUGGGGAUCGAACAG